This 820-nucleotide long non-coding RNA is filed under the name Musa acuminata (dwarf banana). Its description in RNAcentral is "long non-coding RNA (MACU_LNC005488)". The record is from RNAcentral. Lineage: Eukaryota; Viridiplantae; Streptophyta; Magnoliopsida; Zingiberales; Musaceae.
UUGAACUUGGAAUGAUCUUUCAGCUGGAGAACAAACACAAUGUCUCCUGUGACAGUAUCCGGCUGCAAGCAUUCACCCGUUUAAACCAUAAGAGACAAAGAUUUGCUUAAACAAAUAAAGCUCCAGCUAUAACAUGUAUUAAAUAAUUCUACACAACAGGAGAAAAAUGAUCUAACGAAAGCAAAGAGAUAAAAGAUCAUACUGCUUCAUCAGCUUCGCCAGGGAAGGUAAUCUUUUGACCAUUUUGCAUUCCCUUCUCAACUACAACCUCCAGCACUUUCUUCUCUGGGACAACUUUCUCACCUUUGCAUUGCGGGCAGCGAUCCUUCUCAUUGAUAGUCUCCCCGGUACCCCUGCACUCAUUGCAUGGUUGCUGCAUCUGCUGAAUCAUGCCAGGCCCAAUCUGACGAAUAGUGACCCUCAUACCAGAACCCUGACAACCAGAGCACUUCAUUGAAGCACCGGAUUUUGAACCCUUGCUGCAUAAGUGUAACAAAAAAUGAGAACAAUUAUCCGAAUCUUGGAAACUCAUGUUCUGGGUAUGAAAGGUAACUCACCCCUUGCACUUCUGGCAGAUGACAUUUCGUGACAGUGAAAGUUUCUUGGAAGUUCCAUUGUAAAGGUCUUCCAAAGACACCUUCAGAGGAUGGAUCACAUCCUCCCCUCUCCUCUGCCUUCGACCCCUGCUGCUUCCUCCUCCUCCUGUUACAAAAAACAUGACAGCAAAAAGUUCAUAGAGCAUCUCAAGCAUAAGCAAACCACAAUUUUUUGAUACCAGAAGACAACAGUACAUCAUAGACAAUUACAUCAAUGAACGAGC